GGGCGGGUAGCUCAACUGGUUAGAGCAGUCGUCUUAUACACGACCGGUUGAUGGUUCGAGUCCAUCCCCGCCCACCA
RNAcentral lists this transfer RNA (77 nucleotides) under Candidatus Uhrbacteria bacterium. RNAcentral describes it as "tRNA-Ile". It matches the Rfam family "tRNA". From Rfam's summary of the family: Transfer RNA (tRNA) molecules are approximately 80 nucleotides in length. Their secondary structure includes four short double-helical elements and three loops (D, anti-codon, and T loops). Further hydrogen bonds mediate the characteristic L-shaped molecular structure. tRNAs have two regions of fundamental functional importance: the anti-codon, which is responsible for specific mRNA codon recognition, and the 3' end, to which the tRNAs corresponding amino acid is attached (by aminoacyl-tRNA synthetases). tRNAs cope with the degeneracy of the genetic code in two manners: having more than one tRNA (with a specific anti-codon) for a particular amino acid; and 'wobble' base-pairing, i.e. permitting non-standard base-pairing at the 3rd anti-codon position. The record is from RNAcentral. Lineage: Bacteria; Candidatus Uhriibacteriota.